Long non-coding RNA from Lutra lutra (Eurasian river otter), 823 nucleotides. RefSeq lists it as uncharacterized. The transcript has 6 exons. The record is from RefSeq and is a predicted model, not a curated record. Lineage: Eukaryota; Metazoa; Chordata; Mammalia; Carnivora; Mustelidae.
AUAAACCCAGGGAGGGACAUGACAGCCACACAAGCCUGGGAAUGGCAGCCCCAUGGGAAACCAUUGCCCCUCUUGUGAAAUCAGGCAGGGCAAACAGACAAACCACAGCAGCCUGUUUUUAUAAAAUGGUGAUGUGUUGUUUAUCAUGGACUUUUGGGCACUGAUUUUGGUUUUUAGACAUAUUGUCACUGGGGUUUUGGGUGCUCCCUUGAAUUUUGUGCCCCAGGAAACUGCGCUUUCCCAAGCUUGACAAAGAAAAGCCUCGGGGAAAUAAAACUUGGAUGUGAUGAAACUCAUGCAGCCCAACAAUUGGAGAAGCUCCUUUCUUAUCUCCAAGCCUCAGGCUUGAGAAGUGGCACUGAAGACCCCUGAACAGACAAGACGGAAUCUGACCGUGGUGUUCUCUGAAUGAGGAAGCUCUUUCACACUGGAACACAUGUCUGGCCGAAGACACAUGCUGAGAAGAACAGGGAUCUGGAAAGCUGCAGAAAGUGAGGCACUAGCUGCAUGGACCUCAGGCAGAUAUGGCACACCAGUUUCUGUUAAGUUCAAGUGCCUUUGCAGAGGAGUCUACAUAAUCAUCAUUUGCCAACAAAGUGUUGUUAACUAUAGCACGCAAGGUCUUCACAUGGCACCUUCCAGUCCUAAGCAAGGCUGUGAAGAAUUGUUUUGUAAAAUAAAACUACUAGCCGGGGGAUAGAUUGUGACAACCAACACUGACACACAAACAGACUCCAAUACCAGGAGCAACACAGCAAUUGCAAAGUCCAGAACCCUGAGAGUUCCAGCAUUCCCUGGAGCUUAUCUAUUCCGGCCGACUUCU